This is a long non-coding RNA of Vulpes vulpes (red fox), 706 nucleotides long. The record is from Ensembl. Lineage: Eukaryota; Metazoa; Chordata; Mammalia; Carnivora; Canidae.
AUGCACACAGUCAAGCUCCCUGAGCAACAGCAAAACAGAUGGAAGCAUCUCUCCUUCCAGGUUGAUUUUUAUUGCUAUUAUAGUACAGUCCGGUCCCAUUCUACAUCAUUAUAUUUGAUAACUGUCAUAAACCUGAAAUCACUGCUAUUUGAUGUCAGGACAAAGUCACUCUUGGAACUGAACCAUGCCAGACUCAAUCAACAAACUCUUGUCAGCUUCCCUUACCGCUUCCGUGUAAAUAACCUGCCUGGUCAUUCCUGUCAAAAACUCCAGGUAAAGGAAUCAGAAAGUCACUUAAGUUGAGACCUGUGGAAACAUAAGGACACACCUUCAAGGCCACAACUUUCCCAGUAAACAACUUCAUUUUGCCUUACAAGAACUUGAAUAUGUUGCCAUGAGGCCUUGCAGACUCGAUUAUCAAAACAGAAAAGCCAGAACAUUAGAGAUAUCAGCUAAAAAUAGGGACUAUGAAGUAAGAUGGAUCUGGAUUUAAAUGUUAGUCCCACUAUUUUCUAGCUGGGUGAACUGGGGCAGGUUAUAAAGCUUCUGGGAAUCUAUCUACUAAUCCCUAAAAUGGAGAUAAAUAUUUGACGCUACCUCAAAGGACUAUGGGAGCAAAAAUCAGAUAAGUCAAGCAAAAUACUUAGCACAGUUCCUGACACAGAGUUAGUACAUAAUAAAUCAAGGGAGAGGGAUUUUUUUCCCA